GGUGGGGGGAGGCGAGAGGCUUUUGCCCAUAUCUGAAUAUAUCUGUAUAUAAUUGUAUAUAUUUUCUUGUAUGAUUCAUUAGUGUUUUAAUUAAAGCUGUGUAGUUUAGUUUUCAAUCCAGCCAAGUCUCUCUCUCUUUCUCUCUCUCCUUCCCUACCUGGGGGGGGGGGGGGAGGGGAUCGAGAGCAUUGUUGUCGGACCUGAGUCAAACGGUGACAUGAGGGAAAGCCAUCUCUUGAUGAGCUAUUAAGGGACUGCUUAAAUACUUACUGAAAAGUGUAAAGAGAAUAGAAAAGUAAAAGGUCAUUCAGUAAUCAAAGAUGAGUUUUCUGAGUAUAAUUUCUGCUUAGAAGAAAGGUGACACUUCUUUCUGUCUCUUUAAGGGUACGAUGAGACCAAAUUCUACUGGUAAACUCCUGUAUUUGCCCCCAUAAUGUAUCUUUUAAUUCUUUUUGAAGACAAUUCAGGCGGAGAGACAAGAGAUGAGGUCAACAAAUGCCUACAAAAUCUUAAAUCAAUCAACUUUCCGUUAAAAUUAUCACAAAAUUUAAAACACUAAGAAUGGGUUAAUUAUAUUUCAGAUCUGAAAAUAGAAGUGGGUGGAAAACCACUGCAGAACAUGCAAAUAAGAAGAAUGAAACAAGAAGGAAAAAAUAGAAGUCAUUUUCUGGAAACACAGGACGAACCCAGUCUAGAAUUAAAAUAAAAAAGCAAAAGAAGAAACCCAUUCACUACUUCCCAUUGGCAGGCAGAUGUUUAGCCAUCUCCAGCUUUUAUAUCUGAGCGUGACAUCAUAUUGUGCUGGUUUGGUUUGGUGGGAUUUUUGGUAGUGGGGGAAGGGCCCCAGGAGUGGCUCCCAUAAGAAGCUGAGAAGCUCCCCCUGCUCCAAAACCAGCCAAGGAGCCAUUAGGGAGACAAUAGAUGCACCUCUGCGAUUAGCAUACGAAAUAACUGAUAUAAGACCUGAGCAGAGGGAGCAUUUAAAGAAAGAAAAGCUGAGCUGGAGAGGUGAAAGGCAGUGCUAGGGUGAACAUCCCCCGGUGGUUUAUGAGGAAGAAGGGGAAGAAGGUGCCCAAGCAGAAGUUUCCCUGCAACCUAUGGCGAGAUGGCAGGCUGUCCCCCUGCAUUCAAGGAGGAACGUGGUGGAACAUUCCCUGAAGGCGCCAGGAGGGGUGAACUUGGCCAGUGGACUCGGGUUUGCUGCCAGUGGACUCUGAUUACGCAGCUUUGGAAGACCCCGGCGCCAGGGGAGUUGGCUGUUCCCGAAAGAGCCUGUGACUCUGUGAGAAACCCACGCUGGAGCAGCUUGCUCCAGACCUUGUGGGAAGGACUCAUGAAGGAGAGGUUCGUGGAGGACUCUCUUCCAUGGGAGGGACCCCGUGGGGAAGCAGGGAAGGACUGUAAGGAAUUCUUCUUCCUGAGGAGGAAGGAGCGGCAUGAACCACCAGCCUGUGAACUGACUAAACCCCAUUCCCUGUCCCCCUGUGCCACUGGGGGGAAGGAGGGAGAGAAAUCGGGAACAAAGUAAUUUGGGCCCGGGAAGAAGGGACGGGUGGGGGUAAUGUCUGUAAGCACUGCUCUUUGUGUUGUCCGUGUCCCGUGUGUAUUUGAUUAGCGUGAAAUUAAAUUAUUAUUUUUUUCCCCCCAA
Molecule: long non-coding RNA, 1648 nt
Organism: Apus apus (common swift)
Lineage: Eukaryota; Metazoa; Chordata; Aves; Apodiformes; Apodidae
Exons: 3
Source: RefSeq, a predicted model, not a curated record